ACAGGCGAGGGCGUUCGGCGACGUUACUGGGGCUGCACGGUGCUUGUAGCUGGGCAGUCUUAUCAUCAGAGUGGAGCCUGGUAACCACGACCUCCCCGCCAGGUCCUGUGUGUUGCUAGCUGGAGAAGGGUAGUUGAAAACUCAGACCAAGCACAGUGUUUAUAUCGGUCAAAACUGGAAAACUAUGUCCGGGCGCAGCCGAGGCUGGAGGAUCCCUUCAGGCCAAGAGCAACCUAGCAAUAUGGCGCGACCGGAUCUCUGUAGUCCUACCUCAACCCCCAGCUACUUGAACCCCAAGGUUGAAGGCUCCAGUGAGCUAUGAUCCCACCACAGCAUUGCAGCCUGCCAGACUGAGGGCUUGAGGAUCAGCCAGGUUUCAUGAGUUCAAUGCAGACCUGAAUCAUACCAAGCUGAGACUGGGGUACACACUCUCCUCUACUGAAAAGUAGUGAGGGAUUCCAACUUGGUGAGAGGGAGAGUGGGGGAGAGCCAGACCAGACAAGAGUGCUCACCUGGAAAAAGCCUGCCAUCAAAGGCCAUGACAUGAACUUAUGAAUUCAACACAUGAAGACUUACAACUUGAUAAACCAGCUUCAGGAGAUUGAGAAAACUUGUAUUCCUGUGAUUUCGAUAGUGAAGGAAGUAUGGUAUACCAGAAUCACUAAAUUAUGAAAGAUGGUAGAUCAGCUUUUUGCAAAAAAAUUUGGUUCCUGAAAGGGAGAGAGGAAAUCUUCGAUUUUUCAUGGCUGUGAACCACUGCAAGUAUUGAAGAAAUAUUUACUACUUCCAGCCUCAUAAUCCUGCAGUCAUUUGGCACCUCUGAAGCCUUGGGGAGCACUGAAGCCAAGGCUGCACCGUACCAAAAAUUUGAAACAUGUGAAUGAGCUGAAUGUGGAAGGACUACCGGAAAACACUCCUUUCAGAAUCCCCUCAUUGCAUGAAAUCCCAAGGCUCGAAAACAUCUUUCAAGUGAGCAAUUGAAUUAAGUUUGUUAUUAAGAGCUUGGUGAAAGGUAGAAGUUACACGUGAGAAGGCGGUGGAGCCAGGCACAUGAUGGAGCCUCGAAGAGUGGAAGGUGGCACCUGGCUCUGUGAGGAGGGUGUGAAGUCCUCCAUGGGAGGAAGAGAUGCCAGCAAAGGAGUAACUCCAGUUAGCCUCCAUUGUCUCCAAGCCGGCUUUUGUCCUCAUCCACAACGCCUCCACACAAGCUCUGAACACCUGUCCAUGUAAAAAUAUCAAGAAAUGCUGAGGCCCAUGUCCCAGAACAACAGUCCUUUAGGUGGAUCACACAUUCUCCACUACACCAAGCUCUACUCACAGGUUGGAGACACGCUUUUUGCAGA
Molecule: long non-coding RNA, 1343 nt
Filed under: Homo sapiens (human)
Lineage: Eukaryota; Metazoa; Chordata; Mammalia; Primates; Hominidae
Description: HSALNT0362755
Source: RNAcentral